This 73-nucleotide transfer RNA is filed under the name Babesia gibsoni. RNAcentral's name for it is "tRNA-Ile". It matches the Rfam family "tRNA". Rfam says of the family: Transfer RNA (tRNA) molecules are approximately 80 nucleotides in length. The record is from RNAcentral. Lineage: Eukaryota; Apicomplexa; Aconoidasida; Piroplasmida; Babesiidae.
AGACUUUUAGCUUAAAAGGUUAAAGUGUGCAUAUGAUAAAUGUAAUAUUUUGGUUCAAUUCCAAAACAGUCUA